Monodelphis domestica (gray short-tailed opossum) is the source of this 17832-nucleotide long non-coding RNA. RefSeq lists it as uncharacterized. NCBI's taxonomy places the organism in Eukaryota, Metazoa, Chordata, Mammalia, Didelphimorphia, Didelphidae. The record is from RefSeq and is a predicted model, not a curated record.
UAUGGGGUGCUCAGGGAGGGGUAGUAUCUCUGGUAUGGAGGGCUUGUCGUGCCCUUCUUGGGCAGCUCUCCAGCCACUGACCCUCACCUGACACUCAGCUCUCACUUGUGGCUCCCAGUAGCUGCUAGCAUGCGGCAGCGGCCACACCCCGGGCAACGGCUUCGACAGGCCGGCUAAACCUUGUGAGGGUAGCCAUCGGGUCAUUGACCCCUGGUGAACCAGGGCUUUGCUCACCCAGCAUGUGAAGACUGCUUCGGCGGAACAGACGGAAGAAACCAACAAGAAGGUUCAACGGCUGAGAUGGCAAUGCAGCAAGGCACUGUGGAGUGCUUAGGGCGUGUUGGAGCACAAAAGACAACACGGCCAUCCAAUACAGCUGAGGAAGUCUCCAGGUGUAACGACUUUUCGUGCCACUGGACCCAGGCUUCUAACGCUGAGAGAGUGGGACUGUCUCUGUGCAUCGACUUUUCCACUUAAAUCUUCAUGCACAAGUGUCUUUGUGCACAAAAAUGCACAAAGACAAUCGUCAUCCUCGGUUCGAGAGACAACCAACAUUUCCUCCAUUAACUUAUAAGGUCUUUGAGAACAGGGAGUGUCCUUUGCCUCUUUUCACAUCUCCAGUGCCUGGAACAUAGUAGGUGAUUAAUAAAUGUGUAUUAGAAUGAAUGCAUUUCCUAGCCAUAAGUAUCAAACACAUGGACCACAGUUUACAUGCCACUGCAAAACUCCACGAUUGCCUGAACCAGAUUAAAAUGUAAUUGAGAGUCUUUAUCCAAAUAAAUAAGAAGGCAACAAAACAAAUAGUAUUAUAUUUUAUCUUUAUAAAAAUAUUUUGUUUUUCCAAUUACAUGUAAUAAUUUUUAACAUACAUUUUUCAAAAUUAUAAGAUCCAAAUUGUCUUCUUUCCUUUCUUUCCUCCUCUCUCCCAGAGGUGGAGAGCAAUUUGAUUUGGGUUAUACAUAUAUCAACAUGCCAAACAUACUUCCAUAUUGGCCAUUGUUGUAAGAGACUAUUAAUAUAAAACCAAGCCCCCCAAAUAAAAGCACAAACUAAAGUGAAAAGUAAUAUGCUCUGAGCUGGAUUCUGCCUCCAACAGUUCUUUCUCUGUAAGUCCUUCAGAAUUAUUCUGGAUCAUUGUAUUGCUGAGAAUACCCAAGUCUUUCACAGUCAAUCAGUAUACAAAAUUGUUAUUAUUGUGUACAAUGUUCUUCUGGUUCUGCUCACCUUACUCUGCAUCAGUUCAUACAAGUCUUUCCAAGUUUUUCUGAAAUCUUCCUGCUUAUCAUUUCUUAUAGCACAAUAAUAUUCCAUCACCAUCAUAUACUAAAUUCAAUCACAUUUUAAAACAAAUAUGCAACUGCAGGGAUAUUUAUGUAUGGUUUAGUCACCCUCAUUUAUAUUUAAAUUUGAUACCUAAAGCAGAAAUGAGUACUUGUAAUCACAUAUUAACCUAGAAAAGCAUAAGUUAAUAUUAUCUGUGUUAUACUAUAUAUUAAUUUACUUUGUUAAGCAUUUCCCUAUUACAUUUCAAUCUGGUGUUUGGGGGCAGCAGAGCCCCAAGUUGGACACCUCUUUAAGAUGAUCUAAGUAAACAAACUGUAGCCUUAACCAUCUAAGUGAAACUAAGUGAUAAUCUGCAGCUUCUCUAAUACUUCAAUUCCUUCUUUCCUUCCUCAAUAACGUUAGCAAAACCAUGUUCCUUCUAUCAGCACAGAUUGCAAACCACCCAUGACUGGUCACCCUAAAUGUCAUUUUCUACAUUUUUAAUUAAUUCUCCAUAGAAGGUCCAUCCCAAGUGCUAUAGACAUGCCUCUAAGUCCUCAUCUAUUUCAUGGGUACCAGGACAGUGCUCAGACUAUCUAUUCCUCACUCUGUUUCCAGCCCACCUCCUCUUCUUAUCAUCUGUCUCCCCAAUGAUAUACCUUUUUUCCCCUUGUGGGCAUCAUUUUAGAAAUGUUGUAGCCUAAAUCAUAAUAGCAUUCAUAUAGCACUUGAAGAUUUAGAGUGGGCUUUACAAAUAUCUCAUUUUAUCUUCACAACAAGCCUCUGAGGUAGUUGCUAUUAUUAUCCCCAUUUUACAGAUGAGGAAACCAAGCCACUGGUGGUUAAGUAAUUUGCCCAGGGUUCUAUAGCUAGUAGUAUCUGGGGCAGGUUCAACUCAAGUCUUCCUGACUCUAGGCCAGGUCCAGUGUUCUAUCCAUUGCAUCACUUAGCUGCCUGUUAUACCUAUCCUUUGCACAAAAUUUUGAUUCUUCAGAGAUUGUGUGAUUCCAAAAUUCACAACAAUAUGGCUAAGAGGACAUUUGCGUAUUUUUUAAAAGAUGGGCCUUUUCCCUGAGCAGCUGCUAGGAGUUGUCAAAAAGCAUUGAACAAUUUCCCAAAUUUGUGCCAGUCCCCUCUACUCUCUUCCUCCUAUUCCUUCUAAUUAAUUCUGCAUCUGCAGAGACUGUCUCCUAUAAAUGUACUAAGUCAAAUGGACUAACCAUCCAACUUCAUAGCCUAGUCUGGACAAGUAGCAUUUUUCAUCCAUUUAGUUGUUCUAAUAUAAUAUAAUGAUUUAUAUAACAUAGCAUAUAAUGUUUAUUAUUAAUUAAAUACCAAUUAUUUUAUAAUUAAUAUAAUUAUAUCAAUAAUAUGUAUUAUAUAAUGAUACAAUUAAAUAUUUAUAUAAUGAUUUGUUAGGUUGCACUCUUCAAGAAUCAUACAUCUAAUUGAGGAGACCCUUGGAAAUCUAGGGUUUUAUACAAUCAACAAUAUCAUCCAUAAACAAGAACAUUUGAAGUAUUUCUCCAUCAAUAGGGAAUAGGAGAGAGUUCCUUUUCUAUUUGGAUCUUGUAUGAGAUAUUUUUCAGGUCCAUGGCAAACCCCAUAGGCUUCAACUUCCUACUCUAAGAAAUGAGAGAGUUCAACAGGACAGUCUCUGUAGUCCUUUGAUCCUAUUAUCUCUGAACUUCAGUAAAUGUAGGUGUUAUUUGCUGCCUAUGCAUAGCUAGGUAAUGCAAUAGAUAGAGCACAGGCCAGCCUGAAGAGAGGAAAACUCAUCUUCCUGAGUUCAAAUCCAGCUUCUCAGACAUUUACUAGCUGUGUGGUUAUGGACAAAUUACUUAACCUUGUUUGCCUCAGUUUGCUCAUCUGUAAAAUGAGCUGGAAAAGGAAAUAGCACAGAAUCUUUACCAAGAUAACCACAAAUGGAAUCACAAAAAAUUGGACACAACUGAACAACAGAAACCUGCUACCCAUGUGAUAAGACUCCUCUAGAGAAUAUUCUGGCGUUAUAUAUAAGCAGAUCUAUUUUCUAUCCUGAAAAAAAAAAGAUGUGGACUUUUUUUCUUGCAAAAGGUUACGUCAAAAGAUAAUAAAAGGCAUCUCAUAGGAACCACUUACCUUCCUGUUUCUUGCACUUGACACCUUCCAGGCCUGAAAUUUUUUCUCUCCCUGCCUCCAUUUCCUGGAUUUCCCAGUUCCUUUAAGACUCAAAGCAAAUCCCACCUUCUGCAGGAAAUAUACCCUUGUCACUCCCCCUGCUAGUAUCUUCCCUCUGAGAUUGCUUUUUAUUUACACUGUCUUAUCUUCUACAUAAAUUUUUUUUUCCAUGUUGCUUCCCCCAUUUGAAUAUGAGCUUUUUAAGAGCAGGGACCAUAUUUUUGCCUUUAUAUGAAUCCCCCAGAGAGUAUCACAGGGCCUGGCAUGUAUUAGAUGCUUAAUAAACGUUACCAAAAAUACACUGAUGUGAAAGAUGACUCCAACAAUUCUUUCUUUAGAGGUGGAUAGAAUUGUCCCAGAUCAUUGCAUUGCUGAGAGUAGCCAAGUUUUCACAGAUAAUCAUCAUACAAUAUUGCUGUUGCUGUAUACAAUGUUCUCUCAGUUCUGUUUAUUCCUCUCUGCAUCAGUUCCUGCAGAUUUUCCAGCUUUUUCUGAAAUCAUCCUGCUUAUCAUUUCUUAUAGCACAAUAGUAUUCUAUCACCAACAUGUACCACAAUUUGUUCAGUUAUUCCCCAUAUGAUGGAUAUUCCCUCAAUUUUAAAUUCUUUGCUACUACAAAAAGUGCUAUAAAUAUUCUUACACAGGGAAGGACUUUCCCCUUUUUUAGUAUCUCUUUGGCAUAUAGACCCAGUAGUAUACUAGGUCAAAGGAUGUUCUUAGUUUUAUAGCCCUCCCAGAAUGGUUGGAUCAGUUCACAACUCCACCAAUUCCACCUACGAUGCAUUAGUGUCCCAAUUUUGUCACAUCCUCUCCAAUAUUUAUCACUUACCUGCCAUACUAAUCUGAUAGAUGUGAGGUGGUACCUCACCAUUGUUUUAAUUUGCAUCUCUCUAGUCAAGAGUGAUUAAGAACAUUUUAAAAUAUAAUUAUUGAUGGCUUUGAUUUCUUCAUCUGAAAAUUGCUUUUUCAUAUCCUUUGACCAUUUGUCAAUUGGAGAAUGGCUUGUAUUCUUAUAAAUUUCACUUAGUUCUUUAAUAUUUUGAGAAAUUAGACUUUUAUUAGAGACACUUAUCACAAAAAAAUUUUUUUCCCCAGUUUGUUGUUUCUCUUCUAAUCUUGGUUAGAUUAGUUUCGUUAGUACAAAAGAUUUUUAAUUUAAUAUCAUCAAAAUCAUUCAUUUUAUAUCUUAUAAUACUCACUAUCUCUUGUUUGUCCAUAAAUUCUUCUCUUUUCCCAAGAUCUGCCAGGUAAACUAUUCUGUGUUCCCCUAAUUUAGUUAUGGCAUCCCUCUUUAUAUCUAAAUCAUAUAUCCAUUUUGACCUUAUCUUGACAAAGGGUGUGAGAUAUUGGUCCAUACCUAGCUUCUGCCAUACUGCUUUCCAAUUUUCCCAGAAGUUCUUUUUGAAGAGUGAGUUCUUAUUCUAAAAGCUAGGAUCAUGAGUUUGUGUUCUUAACCAUUAUGUUCAUGUUUGCUGGCUAAGAUGGCUUCUGGGCUCUUUUGGACUCCACAUUGUGGGCUCUGUUUUGUAGUAGUUAAAUUUGUGUUAGGAAAUGGUGAAAAUGAAGGCGAUAAACCUUUGUCCUUUUGGGUUUUUUUCCCAUUUUUUCAGCUUCAGGGCUGGUUUGGAUGGGCAAGGUCAAAGCUGUAGAAUUAUUCAGGGUCUUCUCUUUAGUCUUCUAAUUUGCUAUUAGUUUGAUCUUUCCCAUAGCAGCUCCCUGAUCUGACUUCACUCAAACAGCCCAUUCUACUAUGAUUCUCACAUUCCACUUCAUGAAAAUGCAGGUCUCUUUGCUUUUCAUGAUGUUAUGCGGCAUUUGGCAUAUCUGUACCUUCCAGAUCCCCUAUGGAAGAAAAUAUCCAUGAUAUCAAGGUGGGAAGCUUCCACAUAUUUGGGGCCUUUUUCAUUCCUCAAACCCAAGUCAGAUUUUCCAACAUGCAUUUAACCAGAUUCCCUCAUAUUCAUAUUUCCAUUGAAGUAUUAGUGUAAGUGUUGACAUUGGACUCCUCUGAAAAGGAGCUGGUCCAAGCCUUGCCAGAUGGUCAUUACACAUAUAAAAUUUUAAAGUUUUUGUACAAAAAAAUGCCAGUGAAGGGAAACAGUUAACUGGGGAAAAUCUUUACAGAAAAUUUCUUUCAGGAAGGAAUCAUACUUCUAUAUAUAGAACUGAUUCAAAUGUAUUAAAACAAGAGUCAUUUUCUAUUAGAUAAAUGGUCAAAGGAUAAGAACAGUAGGGUUUUUGUUUUAUUUAUUUAGUUAGUUUUUAAAGCCCUUACCUUCUGUCUUAGAAUCAACACUAAGUGUUGGUUACAAGGCAUAAGAAUGGUAAGGGCUAGGCAAUGGGGGUCAAGUGACUUGCCCAGAGUCACACAGCUAGGAAGUGUCUGAGGUCAGAUUUGAACCCGAGACCUCCUAUCUCUAGGUCUAGCUCUCAAUCUACUGAACCAUCCAGCUGUCCUCUUUUUAUUUAUUUUUAGACAUUGUUUUCUUUUUAAAUUUUGAGUUCCAGAUUCUUUCCCUCUGAAGCUCUGCUUGGUUUCAACUUCUUUUACAAAGAUACCCCUAUACCAGGUCCCAUCUGGUGUCAUCCACUCACACCCUCUAACUGCUUUCCAGUUUCAUUUUGUGUGUUGACUUUCCCCAUUAAAUUGUAUGGGACUCCAUAACUGAGCUAUCUUUUUUCUUGUUUUUAUCUCCGGUGCUUAGCAUAGUGCCUAGCACAGAGUAGGCACUUAAUGUGUUCAUUGAAUUGAAUUGAACUGAUAAGAGUGAAGUGAGUCAAACCCAGACAAUAAUUCAUCAUUACAUUACGAUAACUAUAAAUACAGCAUUAUAAAUACAAACAACUCAAGACCUCUGAUCAGUGCAAUAGAAAGCUGACGAACUCAAAAUGCUGAAUAAGACACACAUUUUCCGCCAGUGUGGAAACUUCUUCCAAUAGUUUUCUUUUUUUCCUAAUGGGAGGAGGCAGAGAGAGUAGAAGGAACAAGGGAUAAAAUUAUAAAAAUAAAUAGAGGAGCAGCUAGGUGCCUCAGUGAAUAGAAAGCCAGGGUUGGAGUUGGGUGGAACUGGGUUCAAAUGUGGCCUCAGACAUUGAUGCUCAGUAUCAAUUCUAAGAUAGAAGGUAAGGGUUUGAAAAGUAAACAGAAAAGAGCAUCAUUGAUGCAUUUUUUAAAGCUCACAGACAAAAACCAAAGCACAAAAAGAAUGAAAGAUAAUACCGUUUUGAAAAUUAAAUGUUGCUAUUGGUUCUGGGAAGGGGGGAAGGAAGAGGGAAGGAAAAGAAAACGAAUCAUGGAAACCAUGGGAAAAUAUUUUAAAAUAAAAAAGAAAUUUAAAAAAGAAAGUUAAAUGUUGAUAGGCAAAAAUUCUUUGUUUCAAGUUUCUCUGAUAAAGGUUUGAUACCCAAUAUAUAUAAACAAUGAACAGAUACUGUAUAUCUCAGAUGUUUUAGUGCCAUUUAAAGCAAUUAAAACAAUAUUUAAAUUAUGAAGCUUAUUUGGGAGGAGGAGAAUGAAGGAAUUUUUUCUUACUCCUGUCCUCAUUAGCCAUAGUUUCCAGGAGCCCUAAAGGAGAUAUACUCGAGGGGGGGCGGGACUGCGUGGUUCAGUGGAUUGAGAGCCAGGCCUAGAGAUGGGAGGUCCUAGGUUCAAAUCUGACCUCAGACACUUCCCAGCUGUGUGACCCUAGGCAAGUCACUUAACCCCCUAUUGCCUAGCCCAUACUGCUCUUCUGCCUUGGAGUCAAUACACAGUAUUGACUCCAAGUUGACUCCAAGACGGAAGGUAUGGGUUUAAAUAAAUAAAUAAAGGAGAUACACUCCACAGCAGUUGGAGUGUUUAGAAUAAAAGAGUUCAGGUACAAUUGAGGCAAACCUGGGUACAGAGGGACAGACAUGCUAGAUCAGAAGCAAUCUACCUGUGUCAGCAGAGAAGGACUCAAGAGAGAUCCAGUCCUGGAAACCUAGACAUGGGCUACAGAAAGGGCUUUGAGCCUCCAGUUCUUUAUCUGUUUGCUACAUUGUACUCUUAAGUCUUAGGCCAUUCUUCCCAUACAUGCUGUGUGUAUUAAUGAAGAAUGAGAUUGAGGGAAAUGUUUUCUAGCUGGCAUUCUUUCAGUUCCAUUUUCCUAAGUGCCUUUGCUAUGAGCUAGUUGUGCCUAUUGUGAGUGGACAACACACUAGUAGGGGUUGAGGGACCCGAGCUGUGAGUUCAAGCACAAGUUAAGGGAUUCCUGCAUUUACUUUAGAUAAGUUGAAGUGCCCAACUCUAGGAAAGGGGCAGCUUUUUCUUUCCAGGUUUGAGAUGAUUUCCACAAUGGAUUUUCUUCUUCAAUAGGCUUAAAUGCCUCAAAAUCCUUAUUACCUGCCUUGACUGUUAGUGGUAGAGCUCUGAGAAGGCUCUGAGAAUUUCUGAAGGAAACAUCUGAGCUGGCCAAGUUUUGAAUCUUGAAAAACCUCAAUUCAAAGGAAAACCUCACUUCUACUAUCCACGGAAUAGAUUUAGAGUAAAAAGUCAAAGGGGCAGCUGGGUGGCUCAGUGCAUUGAGAGCCAGACCUAGAGAUGAAGUCCUGGGUUCAGAUGUGAUCUAAGGCACUUCUUGGCUGUGUGACUCCGAGCAAAUCACUCAACCCCCAUUGCCUAGCCCUGACUGCUCUUCUGCAUUGGAACUAAUACUUAGUAUUGAUUCUAAGACAGAAGGUAAGGGUUAAAAAAAUAAAAGGCAGUGCCUGAGUUGGGGAUAGAGCCCCAGCCAUUUCCACCAAAGCAGGUUGUUGUUUUCAUCCUCUUUCUCUCUGAAAGAUACCACCAUCUGCUCUUUGCCGUGACUAACACCUGCCCAGGGCUCUGUAAACACCCAGAGACAGCUUUGGACACAUUCGGUGGCAGGCCAGGAAGUACACAAGCAUAAGUCCAGCUGUCUAGGCAAAGCAGAUGCUUUAGAGGGUUCCCUUUCAGGGACUUGCAAGCCUUGUUACUGUAGAAACAGCUUCAGGUGUCAUGGCUUAGGAACAAGCAGCCAUGUGGACCAGUGUGUUGGUUUUAUUUACUUAACUCUUGUUUCUUAUUACAAGAGAAGCCUGGGGUGAGGAGGAAUGUAUGGAAAGUCAUACAGAUCUUACGAUCCUCAUUUUACAGAUGAGAAAACUGAGGCCUUUGCUCAGGCCACCAGCCUGCUAAACAUCUGAGGCAGGACCUGGGACAUGGAUUUUCCUGAUUCAGCUAAGCCCAGCACUUUCCAGGCUCCCCACCUUUCCAGAGUUGUGGGAAACUGAAAUGAGGCAAUGGCUAGGAAAGCCUUUUGUAAGGUUCUCCUCCCUAGAGGAGCUCAUGGUCAGUGGGUAGGCAGGUAAAGUCCAUGAAAGCACAAUAGACUCUGUGUGUAUGUGUGUGUGUGUACAGCGAUCCCUCACCUAUCACGGGAGUUAUGUUCCAGAGACUCCCGUGAUAGGUGAAAAUUCCCGAAGUGGCAGCAUUAUAUUUAUUUUAUUAUUUAUAUCUAUUUUAAAGCUUUAUAAAUCAUUCCCACUCUCCUAUAAACCUUUUCCACAUUCUUAUUAACCUUUCCCACACUCUUAUAAACACCAAGCCAAUCAGGACUCAGGAUAUAGAACACAGCACUGUGGUUGGUCACCUUAAUUCCAUCAGCCAAUAGUGUGCUGUGUACAAUCUCAAGUUGGCAAACUUGAGCAAGUGGUAGUGGCGUACUGCAUUUCCAUUGUGUACAGUAUGGUAUUCAUCCACAAAAUCCCGCAAUAUAGCAGAAACUGUGAUAUAGAAUUGGAUUUUUUUUUAAACCCAUCAAUACAGUGUGUGUAAAGCCAUGAUAAGUGAACUGCAAUAUAGUGAGGGAUGACUGUAUGUGUAUGUGUGUGUGUGUGUAUAUAUAUACAUAUAUGUGUAUAUAUAUGGUAUGCUGAUGGUACCCAUGAGUAUCAGCAUGAAUUACCACAAGCAGAGUGGGAACUGUCUACACCAUUUAUCAAAUCAAGCACAGUUUGCUUGGCAGAACUGCUAGAGGGCUUGCCCUUAAGCUUUCCCAAAGAGCUUGGUUCAAAUCUUGCCACUGAAGUUAUGGAACAUUGGACUGCUCAUGUAGCGGCUCCAUACUCCAAGGUGGAUCUUCCAGACUCCUCUACUUAUGUGAUAGACUGAUGACAAAGAGCAUUUAUUAAACAUUUGGGUGCCUGGUUUUGUAUUGAGAGCUGGGGACACAAAGGUCCCUGCCUUUAAGAAGCUCACAUUUUACAUGGUGAUUCAACAUAUAUAUCAGGAGGCACAGACAAGGGGCAUUCAGGAUACAAAGAAGGUAAGCUUAGAGGGGAAGGCUAGGUGGUAGCAGCUGUGGGGAAGGAGGCAGGUGGAGGACUAGGGAAGAGAGAGUGCAAGUAUGAGAAGUAUAUUUUUAUCCAUGUUUAAAGACUCUAUGGGGGACAGCUAGGUAGCUCAGUGGAUAGAAAUUCAGAUCUAGAGAUGGGAGGUGGGUUCAAAUCUGACCUCAGACACUUCCUAGCUAGGUGACUCUGGGCAAGUCACUUAACCCCAAUUGCCUAGUCCUUAUUCUUCUGCCUUGGAACCAAAAUUUAGUUUCUAUUCUAAAGCAGAAGGUAAGGGUUUUAAGAAUUUUUUUUUAAUGAGGUGAUGGCUGAAGCUAUGUGAAUUAAUAGAUUCCCAAGGAAGAGAACACAGAUGAAGAAGAAAACCCUAGGCAAUGGUCUGCUUAAAGGAAUGGGGGAAAGUAUGAGAAAGAGCCAAGGAAACAGAGAAUGAGGCUAGAGGAACAAGAGAACCAAGAGAGGGAGUUGUCUUAAACCAGGGAAGAAAAGAGAAUUCAGAAGCAAUCUGAAAAAGAAUCUGGAGUAGUCAAGGCACAAGAUCAAGGAUGAUAAGGUUUCAAAAAAGAAUUUAAAGCCAUUGAUACUAAAAAUUGUAAAAAUGAAGAAUGUGAACAAGGGAAAUAAUAUAGGGGAAGAGGGGAAAGGGCAUUUGCCCCUAAAAAUAGGGAAAGAUUAGUGUACAGAGAAAUGCCAUGUGAGAUCACUGGGACUAGAAGAAACAUCAGCCAACAUGAACAGUUCCAUAUAUAAUGAAGAUCAGAAAAAGAGACUUGUAUAUGAAACUGUGUGGUAUCUCUGUGAUAUCCAUUUUAAAAAUAUAUAUACAUUAAAUUUAGCAUAGUAUUAUCAAUAUUGCCCUAACUUGUCUGACUCCUAAAUUUCUUACUCCUCUCUUUUGUGUAUUUUUUUAAAACCCUUACCUUCCAUCUUAGAAUCAAUGCUGCAUACUGGUUCCAAGGCAGAAGAGUGGUAGGCAAUGGGGCUUAAGUGACUUGCCCAGGGUCACACAGCUAGGAAGUGUCUGAGGCCAUCUUUUGUGUAUUUUUAAACAUUUCAUUGACUCCCUUUUUUAUCUCUAUUACUCUUCAUCCCCUAAUUAUCGUCCACAAAAAUAAGCCUUCUCUUGUACAAAUAAAUAGAUAUAAUCAAAUAAAACACAUUCACAUUGGCCAUGUCUAAAAAUGUGAACUUCUAGUUCAUCUCUUCUCCUCUUGCCAAGUGAUGGGAAAUGGCAGCCACCAUCUAUCCCCUGGAGUCACAUUUGGUCACUUCAUUGAUCAAAGAUUUCAUCUUUCAAAGCUGUUUUCCUUUAUUAUAUUGCAGUGAUUGUAUAAGUUGUUCUGUUUUAAUACACUUUAAAAGUAAAACCAGUCAUUUAGUUUUCAUGAAGACUAACUGCUCCCUCCUCUUCCAACCAGAACAUUGUCUCCUGGUAUUUGAUUCUCUUUGGCACAUUGUGACUCAUUCCUCAGCUGCUGGUUUCCUCAGCCUGUCACACCAAACGGGAGCUGGCAUUUAGCCCAGACUGGCAGAAUAUGAGGAAACACAGGCAUGGACUUCCCCAUUUACCAUAAUUCUGAAAUGUCUCUGUAAAUACAGCUGUCUUAACCAGAUGAAAACAGUUGUCAGGCUUUAGCUUAAUAACUGAUUGGGUUAAUCCUCAGUUUUCCAGGGUAGAUUUUCCUGUUUAAAAAUUAUUCAGGUCCAUUACUUUCCCUGGGGAGAUCAGCUUGGACAAGUCACUUUACUCCAAGCCUUGGUUUUCUCCUCUGUAAACUGAAAGAGUUAGAUGAGAUCAAUUUAGACUAAUAACUUUUUGUGUUAUGGAUCCCUUUGGGAAAGCCAAUGGAGUCCUUUUCAGGAUUAAGUUUUUAAAUGUCUAAAUAAAAUACAAAGGAUUUCAAAGUAGACCAAUUAUAUAAAAAUACAGUUGUCAAAAUAUGUGUGAACAUAUAUAGACACACAUGCACAAACACAUAUACAUGCAUGUACAUGUAAAAUGAUAUAUAAAUAUAUUCUAAACUUGAAGGUCUAUGAAAUUGUAUACACAUAUAAUUAUACUUGUAUAUUAAUAUAUUACAUAUACAUAUACAUAUAUAUGUGUAUAUACAUGUUGCUAUUCAAUCAUUUAAUCAUGUCCAGUUCUUCUUUAAAAAACAAAACAAAACAAAACCAUCCUUACCUUCUGUUGUUGACAAAAGACAGUCAACAUUAAGUAUCAGUUCCAAAGUAGAAGAGCAAUAAGGGCUAGGCAAUGGGGGUUAAGUGACUUGCCCAGGAUCACACAGCUGGUAUCAUGUCUGGUGUCAGUUUUGAACCCAGGACCUCCUGUCUCUAGGCCUGGCUCUCUAUCCACUGAGCCUUUUAGCUCUCCUGUGUCUAAUUAUUCUUGACCCCUUGGACCGUAGCUCACCAGUACUAUUCAUGAGAUUUUCUUGGCAAAGAUUCUGGAGUGGUUUUCCAUUUUCUUCUCAAGUGGACUAAGGCAAAGAGAGGUUAAGUGACUUAUCCAGGGUCAUAUAGCUAGUAAGUGUCUGAGGUCACAUUUGAACUCAGAUCUUCUUGGGUAUCCUCUGUACCAUCUAGCAUGUAUGUAUGUUUACUUUUGUGUUUUAAAAAAAAUAUAUAUAUAUAUUUCACUUUCUGUGAUUUCCAGUUACCUUUGGUUAACAGCAAAAGCACUGGAGGUCUGCCCUGGGGUAGUCUUUUCUGCUUUCACUUAAGGUUUUUUUUUUAAAAAUAUGUAUGUGUGUGUGUGUGUGUGUGUGUGUGAGAGAGAGAGAGAGAGAGAGAGAGAGAGAGAGAGAGAGAGAGAGAGAGGGAGAGAGAGAGAGAGAGAUGAGGAGUGAGGAGAGAGAACACAUAUAUAUGGGGUUAACCUGCAUGUUUAUUUCUACUUUUCAACCAUCCAUAGCAGGUCUUGGAAUAUAAGCUUCUUGCAGUAACCAUUUAUAAUACGGUGUCAAAACUACACAAAAACCUUAGUGAAGUUUUAAGCUAUUAGAGCUUUAAACUGUACCCAGACUUUUGGGACACCCCACCUAAGGAGGAAGAGCAUACAAAAUGAAGUGUGGGUGAAUCCAACAUUUUCAGACUAAGUCUAUGAUUUUAGCAGCCCCCGGGAGUGGGAAAGCAGACUGACAUUUCAACUCUAAUACCUAGUCCUGGAGAGCUGGAUGAGUUACCUGGGCACUAAGAGGUAAGUGAGUUGCUCACUCUUCUGGAGAAUAAUUUGGAACUAUGCCCAGAGGGCCAUAAAACUGCAUAUCCUUUGACCCAGCAAUACCACUACUAGAUCUGUAUCCCAGAGGGAUCAAAGGCAGGGAAAAGGACUGACUCGGACAAAAAUAUUUAUAGCAUCUCUUUUUGGAGUGGCAAAGAACUGGAAACUGAAGAGGCAUGUCCAUAAAUUGGGGAAUGGCUGAAGAAGUUGUAUUUGAUUGCAAUGGAAUAUUAUUGUGCCAUAAAAAAUGGCAAACAAGAGGAUCACAAAACAACAUGGAAAGACUUAUGUGAAGCGAGCAGAACCAGGAGAGUUUUGUACACAAUAACAGUGUGAUGAUCAACUGUGAAUGACUUAACUUUUAUCAGCAAUGCAAGAAUCCAGGACAACUCUAAGAAACUCAUGACAAAAAAGACUACCCACCACCAUAGAAGGAACUGACUAGAGUCUGAAUGCAGAUUGAAACAUGCCAUUCUUCACUUUAUUUCCACCACGAAUUUUUCUCUAUCGUAAGUGAUAUGUGUCUUUUUUCAUAACAUGAUGAACAUGGAAAUAUGUAUUAUAUGAUAAUGCACAUACAACCUACAUGUGUGACCCUGGGCAAGUCACUAACUCCCAUUGUCCAGCCCUUACUACUCUUCUACCUUGGAACCAAUACCAGUAUUGAUUCUAUAUAUAAUAUAAUGUAGGAAUAUAGUUAGGGAUGGUCUGGUUUUCUAGGGUUAGUUGAAAAAAGGGAAUUUUGAGAUAAACCCUGGGAGAGGAUUCUGGGUAGGAAAAGGAAUUGUGGGAGUCUAAAACUGAAAAUAACUGAACUUCACUUCCUUCUUGGAUUUCAUCUGAGCUGGAAGUGGGUUUUGUCUCUCUGCCUACAUUUCCAUCAAGCUGAAGGAGGGGUUUUGCUCUAAAAGAUUCUCCCUGGGUAGCCAGGAUUUUGUGGAGAAAUCUUUGACAUCGAGGUAUAGGAUUUAUUUGGAGAAAAUCAAUUUUCCCUGAGUCCAAAGAUCAUCUGCCAGUGGUCCAGCUGCCAGAAUUCCUCUUGGCUAAGGCCCUACUGGGAAGUUUUGCGCUUGUGGCAGCAAGUUUGAUACCUCUGGGCAAUAAAGGAUGUCACAGAGAAGUCAAAGAAGGUAAGCAGGUCAUGUGGUGAAAGCAAGAGGUAAUUAAAGAAUGGUCUGUGGACUUCAUUUGUUGUUGUUCAGUUGUAUCUGACUCUUUGUGACCCCAUUCAGGUUUUUUUGGCAGAGAUACUGGAUUGAUUUGUCAUUGCUUUCUCCAGCUCAUUUUACAGAUGAGGAAACCGAGAUAAAUUGGGUAAAGUGCUUUGCUCAGGGUCACACAGCGAGUAUAGGUCUGACUAGAUUUGAACUCAGGAAGAUGACUCUUCCAGACUCCAGGCCUGGUACUCUAUCCACUGUACUACUUUAGCUGCCCUGUGUCCUCCAUUAGUAUCUACUCAGUGUUAAGAGAAUUAAUGAAAAACCCUUGGUACACUGGAUAGACCUGCUAUAGACAACAUGGCAGGCAUGAAGCCGAAUAACACAAGAUCAAGAAGGCAUGGAUGGAAUGUGAUAUGCUUCAUUGGAGCAAGUGUCUACAUUAACCAGGUCACACAUCAUUGCAGGAAAGAGACAAUCCCUGAAAUUGGACAAGCCCAUUGACCUCUCUCCAUAGGAUAUGUACUCUGACCUGCCCUUCUUUGCUAGAAGGACAAAGGAGAGACUGAAAAGAUUCCAAAGCAACAUAUUUAAAAGAGCACAUGGCAGAGCUUUUCUUUUCUUUUUUUUUUAAUUAAACCCUUACCUUCCGCCUUUGAGUCAAUACUGUGUAUUGGCUCCAAGGCAGAAGAGUGGGAAGGGCUAGGCAAUGGGGGUCAAGGACUUGCCCAGGGUCACACAACUGGGAAGUGUCUGAGGCCAGAUUUGAACCUAGGACCUCCCGUCUCUAGGGCUAGCUCUUCUUUAGCUUUUAUAACCUCCUGAGAAAUGAAGUUCUUUCUAUCAAGUCAUCUUCAACCCAAUCCCUCACUCCUAGGUGCCAAGGGACCAGUCAGUAAUUGGUGUGUUGGCCAUGGCCUUUAUUGGAUAGAAGGAAGACACAACAUGUAUGCAGAGAAAUAAAAUGCAAGACAGAGUUUGGUAGAAACAAAGAAGAGAUGCAAGGAGCUCUAGAAAAAUUUGGAGGAGAGAAUACUUUCAACCAAAAGAACAGAGAAGAUCUCAUGCAAAAAAAACUUCAUCUGCAUGGCAGGGAACUUAGCUCUAAAGGAAAAGCAGGAUUUCAAAAACAGGUAGAUAUAAAGAGGGCAUAUAGAUGAGGUAUUAAGGAAUAGGUGGCUUAUAUAAAUGCUCCAAAGCAGGAGGCAUCAAGAUAUGUAUGUUAGAAAUCCAAUCUAGUUGGAACAUGGAGAAUAUGAAUAAGGAUUAUAUAAAGUAAGGCCAGAAAAGUAGGCUGGAGCCAGACUGUGGAAGACUUUUAAAAAUAGAUUUUUAUUGAACUAAUUUCUUUUGACAGCCACCCCCCCUUCCUCUUACUCCUCCCCAAAAGUCAUCACUUAUAAAGAAUUUUUCUCUUUUUUAAAAAUAUUUUUCAGCAUCCUUGCAGGAUCCAAACUGGCACCCACCACCACAGUUCCCUCUCUUGGGCACACCCAACUGCAGCCACAGGAAGACACUUCGGGGAGAGCAAUCCCCUCUCAACAUGCUCACCAUAGUCUUCACCUUCUUGAAUAGUAGUGCCUCCCAGACAACAUCUGAAUGUUGGCUCUGUUUGAACCCCCAGCCCUUUAUUAUAUUGGCAUUGGGCCAUUGGGACUGUGAUUUCCUCUCCCUCCCAACCUUCUGUGUGUCACCUCAAUCUCAGACCAUGAGGCCAAAACCCAGUAUAACUGGGGACAAGAGUCAAUUCACAAUCUGGGGAAUCUACAGGGCAAUGGCACUUAUUUUCUGGACCUGGAGUCAGACUUUAGCCACUCAUUCCUGGUACCUUCUUGUUCAGUGCUUCCUACUCUGAUCCCUCAGGUAUUUGGUAUAGAAGGUACCCCCUGUUUCACCUGCACUACUGGUAUUGCCCCUGUUUGUCCCCCAAAACCUUGAAAUCAUGGGAUGUUGUGGGAAUCCCAGUGGUUUGCAUCCUGGUCCAUAUUAUUUCCUAGGUUUACUAUUAUUUUGGGGGAGGGAACAUUUUGAAUGGAUGCAGACUGGGGGACCCCUCUCUAGCUUUGCCAAGUUUCUUAGGGUGCCCAUUCUCAUUCCUAUUCCAGUGGGCUGCUGUGAGGUGGGUCAGCCUCCCACAGGGGAUGGGGUCUUGGAGGUGGGACAGUGUUGGGGAAAUGAUGGAUGGGACACAGCUUUUGCAUUUAAUCCUCAGCACAGGUUUCACAGGAUAAACUGCUCCACCUUGGGUGAGGCCUGGCUUUAUUUUAUACCCUCAUGAUCAUACAUCUACUUGGCACACAGCUUUAUUCUCAACAUACAUGUUUCUAUAGAACCUAACAACAGACAGGAAGCCUAGGGAGAUAGUCAGUGAAACAUUGUUGCUAAGUGCAGGAUCAAAGGGUAGAAUCAACAUGACCCAGAUAUAGGUUAGGAAAUUCAGAGCACAGAUUUGCCAGAAGUUUUUAUGCCUAGGAAAGAGGGUCCUAUCUAAGUAGGUAUAUAAGGAUCCUUAGGUUUAAUUUUGUAAGUGGGCUCUCCUAGUAAUAUCUUAGGGGGACAGAGUAGGACAUCUAUAUUAAUUCUGCAAGCAUGUUGCUCUCAUCUAUUUUUUCUGGGGCUAAGUAAGAAUAAUAAUCAUAGCAAUUCUAAUAAUAAGGGGAUGUUAAUAAUGAAAGUCACUUAGGAGGGUUUCAGUGGGUAUUUCCAUCCUUCCUGGGGGCUGCUUUGCAGUCCCCAGUUCCCACAUGGACCAUGUCAAUGUGGUCUUUUAUGGCUCCCGGCAGUGCGCCUAGGUAUUGGAGGGUCCACUGCCUUGAGUACAGCUGCCCUAGUGCAGGGUAAUCAGAAUUUCCAGACUCUUAACAGAUUGAUUUUGAUCUUAGUGAAUUGGAAAAUUCUCCUAGAAAACUCAGUCAUCUCUGGCAGAGAUGGUUCUUCAAAAUAGGUAAGGGCUGGACCUUCUCUUCCUCAAGCAGGGUGGCCUUUGUGUAGCCCUGGGGGAAAUCUUGCUGCUUCUAUGCUAACCAUUCUGGGGUUAUACAGGAGUCUCUCACUUCACUCAGAGGCAGGAUUCAAGACAGGGAACAGGCAAGUGCUCAAUCUACCAACUGGUAUUCGAUUCUUUUCUCCUUGUCUCCCUGGUUAACUACCCUUCUGACAGCCUUAGCUGGUCCUGUCCUACUGUUACUGGGUUUUCUGAUAGUACCCUGUUGAUUUACUGCCUGACUUCCUGCAUUUGUACGCAACUACAGGCAGUAAAAUUGCUUGUUAGAAGAGUCAAGGGUUUGACUCAUAAGAGGAGGGAUUGAAGUAGACAAAACCUGUAUUCCCAGGGAGCCAGUAAGCCUGUGGGAUCCCCAGGGAACAGUAAAAGGCCCAGACAUACUACAGCCCAAUUUAACUCUUUAUGACAGGACAAGAGACCUCCACCAAAAACAAUGGCAUGCAUCUUAUCCUGCCUAAUUGCUAAAAGCAUAAACAGUCUGCUUCUGUGAAUUAUUGCCCACUUGCUUUUGCCAACCCUUAUAAUGAAGUAUACAUGUAUGAUUUUUGUUUAAAUCUACCAAUCCCCUCCUUUGGCACACCUGUCCCUCUGCACUUCUAUAAAAUUUGUACCUACCCUUUUUUCAGGGUGACUCCCAUUAAGAGGGAGCUCCUUGCAAGCUGGUAAUAAACAGGUUACUAUAAUUUGAA